CCUACGGGAGGCAGCAGUGAGGAAUAUUGGUCAAUGGCCGGAAGGCUGAACCAGCCAUGCCGCGUGAAGGUCAGUGCCCUAUGGGCGUUAAACUUCUUUUGUGCGGGAGCAAUAAUGCUCACGUGUUGCCACACGAGAGUACCGUGCGAAUAAGCAUCGGCUAACUCCGUGCCAGCAGCCGCGGUAAUACGGGGGAUGCAAGCGUUAUCCGGGUUUAUUGGGUUUAAAAGGUGCGUAGGCUGGGAGGUAAGUCAGCGGUGAAAUUCCCCCGGUCAACGGGGGGAAGUGCCAUUGAUACUGCCUUGCUGGAAUGCGGAUGACGUGGGAGGAAUGUGUGGUGUAGCGGUGAAAUGCGUAAAUAUUAGGAGGAACACCAGUGGCGAAGGCGGCUUACUGGGCUUUAACUGACGCUGAGGCUCGAAAGCGUGGGUAGCAAACAGGAUUAGAUACCCGUGUAGUC
Molecule: ribosomal RNA, 460 nt
Filed under: uncultured bacterium
Lineage: Bacteria
Description: partial 16S ribosomal RNA
Rfam family: Bacterial small subunit ribosomal RNA
Source: RNAcentral